GCUGGGUGUGGUGGCUCACGCCUGUAAUCCCAGCACUUUGGGAGGCCGAGGUGGGUGGAUCACCUGAGGUCAGGAGUUUGAGACUAGCCUGGCCAACAUGGUGAAACCCCGUCUCUA
RNAcentral lists this non-coding RNA (117 nucleotides) under Pan troglodytes (chimpanzee). Lineage: Eukaryota; Metazoa; Chordata; Mammalia; Primates; Hominidae. The record is from Rfam by way of RNAcentral.